Molecule: long non-coding RNA, 1725 nt
Organism: Macaca mulatta (Rhesus monkey)
Lineage: Eukaryota; Metazoa; Chordata; Mammalia; Primates; Cercopithecidae
Source: Ensembl
GAGCCCGUGUGAGGAACAUUCCUGCAGAUCCACAGCAUGCAGAGGGCAGGCGGGGCUGACACAGACACUUCUCCCCAGUGAAUUCUGGAGGCUGGAGUUAACCUAUAGGAAGUCUUCCAUGAGGCCGAAAUUGGAGUAUGUGACAGGUGUGGCUUCCGGGCCUCAUGGAGUUCCUCCGAGAGCUUCUGCCUGGGUUAUCUAUUGGUAUUCUGCAGCAGCUGCCUCACAGAGCCUGGAGAGCUCCAGCAAGGAUGGGCCGGAACUCCAGCUGCUGUGGAAAAAAUGCAAUUAGUUUGGUCAUAUGAUGACAUCGUGUUUGGAGUCAAGACUGGCAAACUUGACCUCCACUUUCAACUCUGAGCACAGCCUAGCCUGGGCCUGGGGGCUGAUGACGCUGUCUCAAUCUUUGAUUAAGAGCCAGGGGAGGCCGGGCGCGGUGGCUCAAGCCUGUAAUCCCAGCACUUUGGGAGGCCAAGACGGGCGGAUCACGAGGUCAGAAGAUCAAGACCAUCCUGGCUAACACGGUGAAACCCCGUCUCUACUAAAAAAUGCAAAAAACUAGCCGGGCGAGGUGGCGCCUGUAGUCCCAGCUACUCGGGAGGCUGAGGCAGGAGAAUGGCGUAAACCCGGGAGGCGGAGCUUGCAGUGAGCUGAGAUCCGGCCACUGCGCUCCAGCCUGGGCGACAGAGCGAGACUCCAUCUCAAAAAAAAAAAAAAAAAAAAAAAAAAAAAAAGAGCCAAGGGAAAGGGUGGGCCCUGGAAGAAUGUGGCUUAUCUGCUGAGUAGAGCAAGACCUUAGCUUUGGCCUCUCAGUUUAUUGGAUGAGAUUGGCCUGUUCAGAGAAACCUUUGGUUCAGGUUUUUCUUUUUGAUUGAAUUUUGAUAUUUUAUAUUUUCCUAAAAAAUUAUCCAUUUCACUCUGAUUUUUGCAAAUAAUUCUUUUAUAAGAAUUAUAGUUUCCUAUAUAUGUUUUAAUCUAUUUGUAUUUUCCCCUAGUUUUCAAAAUUAGACUGUAACCAGCCAACAGGUUCACCUUGCCCACUGCCUAGACAGAGUUGAUUUAUCAAGACAGGGGGAUUGCAAUAAAGAAAGAGUAAUUAACACAGAGCCAUCUGUGUGGGAGACCAGAGAUGUUUUAUUAUUACUCAAAUCAGUCUCCCCAAGUAUUUGGAGAUCAGAGUUUUUAAAGAUAAUUUGGUGGGUGGGGAGUGGGGAGUGCUGAUUGGUGAGGUCAGAGAUGAAAUCAUAGGGAGUUGAAGCUGUCCUCUUGCACUGUUCAAGACCAGUUAAUGGAUUAUUUAUUAUUGUUGCUGGUCAUUUUUGUCCCCUCAGUGAACCAGCUCUUGGAUUUCUUUAUCCAUAUGAAGAACUGCAAAGGACCUGAAAUUUUUUUUUCUCCUACAUGCAAGCUAACAAGUUAGUCUGCCAGUGGUCUCCUAGGUGAGAGAUUUGUGCCAAUUCCCUAACCCCACUUCCACCUAACAUCACGAAAGUCUCAUGAUGUCUGCACACAUAGUGGAUUACAGGAGAGGAACCUAAGUCCUAAAUUUAGGGAACCGGAAUCUUUUAUAAGGACAGUAAGCUGGAUGCUUGGCUCUGGGUAAAGACCCUCUCUGUCUUGCAAAGCUGUUUGCAAUACAAACCUCCCUGAAGAGAUAGUCCACAAGAAAGGCAGCCAGUGCCUCUGCCUCUGCUCCUGUCCUGAGGUAUUCAGAAACCAAGAGAU